Molecule: ribosomal RNA, 505 nt
Filed under: Cervidellus vexilliger
Lineage: Eukaryota; Metazoa; Nematoda; Chromadorea; Rhabditida; Cephalobidae
Description: SSU rRNA
Rfam family: Eukaryotic small subunit ribosomal RNA
Source: RNAcentral
CGCGAAUGGCUCAUUAUAACAGCUAUAAUUUACUUGAUCUUGACACAAUCCUACUUGGAUAACUGUGGUAAUUCUAGAGCUAAUACAUGCAUUAAAGCUCUGACCUCACGGGAAGAGUGCAUUUAUUAGAACAAAACCAAGCGGCUUCGGCUGUUUCUGGUUGACUCAUAGUAACUGAGCUGAUCGCACGGUCUUGCACCGGCGACGUGUCUUUCAAGUAUCUGCCGUAUCAACUUUCGAUGGUAGUGUAUCUGACUACCAUGGUGAUCACGCGUAACGGAGAAUAAGGGUUCGGCUCCGGAGAGUUCGCCUGAGAAAUCGCGGACACAUCUAAGGAAGGCAGCAGGCGCGAAAAUUACCCACUCUCAGCACGAGGAGGUAGUGACGAAAAAUAACAAGACCGUUCUCUUAUGAGGCCGGUCAUCGGAAUGGGUACAAUUUAAACCCUUUAACGAGUAUCUAUGAGAGGGCAAGUCUGGUGCCAGCAGCCGCGGUAAUUCCAGCU